AUUGAACGCUGGCGGAAUGCUUUACACAUGCAAGUCGGACGGUAGAGGGGGGCAACCCCCUCGAGAGUGGCGAACGGGUGAGUAAUAUAUCGGAACGUGCCCAGUCGUGGGGGAUAACGUAGCGAAAGUUACGCUAAUACCGCAUACGAUCUACGGAUGAAAGCGGGGGACUCGCAAGAGCCUCGCGCGAUUGGAGCGGCCGAUAUCAGAUUAGGUAGUUGGUGGGGUAAAGGCUCACCAAGCCAACGAUCUGUAGCUGGUCUGAGAGGACGACCAGCCACACUGGGACUGAGACACGGCCCAGACUCCUACGGGAGGCAGCAGUGGGGAAUUUUGGACAAUGGGCGCAAGCCUGAUCCAGCAAUGCCGCGUGCAGGAAG
RNAcentral lists this ribosomal RNA (380 nucleotides) under uncultured bacterium. RNAcentral describes it as "bacterial SSU rRNA". It matches the Rfam family "Bacterial small subunit ribosomal RNA", at positions 29 to 410 of the family's 1533-position model. The record is from RNAcentral.